AGACCCGAAACCCGGUGAUCUAGCCAUGGGCAGGUUGAAGGUUGGGUAACACUAACUGGAGGACCGAACCGACUAAUGUUGAAAAAUUAGCGGAUGACCUGUGGCUGGGGGUGAAAGGCCAAUCAAACCGGGAGAUAGCUGGUUCUCCCCGAAAGCUAUUUAGGUAGCGCCUCGUGAAUUCAUCUCCGGGGGUAGAGCACUGUUUCGGCUAGGGGGCCAUCCCGGCUUACCAACCCGAUGCAAACUGCGAAUACCGGAGAAUGUUAUCACGGGAGACACACGGCGGGUGCUAACGUCCGUCGUGAAGAGGGAAACAACCCAGACCGCCAGCUAAGGUCCCAAAGUCAUGGUUAAGUGGGAAACGAUGUGGGAAGGCCCAGACAGCCAGGAUGUUGGCUUAGAAGCAGCCAUCAUUUAAAGAAAGCGUAAUAGCUCACUGGUCGAGUCGGCCUGCGCGGAAGAUGUAACGGGGCUAAACCAUGCACCGAAGCUGCGGCAGCGAACGUAUCACCCAAGACAACUUUACGGAGUUGACGAUUGACGGAGCGAAGCGACGUCAAAGCGUUCAUUAAAGUCGAGUUGGCUUAGGGAUACGUUCGUUGGGUAGGGGAGCGUUCUGUAAGCCUGUGAAGGUGUGUCGUGAGGCAUGCUGGAGGUAUCAGAAGUGCGAAUGCUGACAUAAGUAACGAUAAAGCGGGUGAAAAGCCCGCUCGCCGGAAGACCAAGGGUUCCUGUCCAACGUUAAUCGGGGCAGGGUGAGUCGACCCCUAAGGCGAGGCCGAAAGGCGUAGUCGAUGGGAAACGGGUUAAUAUUCCCGUACUUGGUGUUACUGCGAAGGGGGGACGGAGAAGGCUAUGUUGGCCGGGCGACGGUUGUCCCGGUUUAAGCGUGUAGGUGUGUGUUCCAGGUAAAUCCGGUUCACUUUAACACUGAGGCGUGAUGACGAGGCACUACGGUGCUGAAGCA
This 967-nucleotide ribosomal RNA is filed under the name Salmonella enterica. RNAcentral's name for it is "partial 23S ribosomal RNA". It matches the Rfam family "Bacterial large subunit ribosomal RNA", at positions 711 to 1592 of the family's 2925-position model. The record is from RNAcentral. RNAcentral also lists the same sequence under 1 other name. Lineage: Bacteria; Pseudomonadati; Pseudomonadota; Gammaproteobacteria; Enterobacterales; Enterobacteriaceae.